AGAGUUUGAUCAUGGCUCAGAUUGAACGCUGGCGGCAGGCCUAACACAUGCAAGUCGAGCGGUAGCACAGAGAGCUUGCUCUCGGGUGACGAGCGGCGGACGGGUGAGUAAUGUCUGGGAAACUGCCUGAUGGAGGGGGAUAACUACUGGAAACGGUAGCUAAUACCGCAUAAUGUCGCAAGACCAAAGUGGGGGACCUUCGGGCCUCAUGCCAUCAGAUGUGCCCAGAUGGGAUUAGCUAGUAGGUGGGGUAACGGCUCACCUAGGCGACGAUCCCUAGCUGGUCUGAGAGGAUGACCAGCCACACUGGAACUGAGACACGGUCCAGACUCCUACGGGAGGCAGCAGUGGGGAAUAUUGCACAAUGGGCGCAAGCCUGAUGCAGCCAUGCCGCGUGUGUGAAGAAGGCCUUCGGGUUGUAAAGCACUUUCAGCGGGGAGGAAGGCGAUAAGGUUAAUAACCUUGUCGAUUGACGUUACCCGCAGAAGAAGCACCGGCUAACUCCGUGCCAGCAGCCGCGGUAAUACGGAGGGUGCAAGCGUUAAUCGGAAUUACUGGGCGUAAAGCGCACGCAGGCGGUCUGUCAAGUCGGAUGUGAAAUCCCCGGGCUUAACCUGGGAACUGCAUUCGAAACUGGCAGGCUAGAGUCUUGUAGAGGGGGGUAGAAUUCCAGGUGUAGCGGUGAAAUGCGUAGAGAUCUGGAGGAAUACCGGUGGCGAAGGCGGCCCCCUGGACAAAGACUGACGCUCAGGUGCGAAAGCGUGGGGAGCAAACAGGAUUAGAUACCCUGGUAGUCCACGCCGUAAACGAUGUCGAUUUGGAGGUUGUGCCCUUGAGGCGUGGCUUCCGGAGCUAACGCGUUAAAUCGACCGCCUGGGGAGUACGGCCGCAAGGUUAAAACUCAAAUGAAUUGACGGGGGCCCGCACAAGCGGUGGAGCAUGUGGUUUAAUUCGAUGCAACGCGAAGAACCUUACCUGGUCUUGACAUCCACAGAACUUAGCAGAGAUGCUUUGGUGCCUUCGGGAACUGUGAGACAGGUGCUGCAUGGCUGUCGUCAGCUCGUGUUGUGAAAUGUUGGGUUAAGUCCCGCAACGAGCGCAACCCUUAUCCUUUGUUGCCAGCGGUUAGGCCGGGAACUCAAAGGAGACUGCCAGUGAUAAACUGGAGGAAGGUGGGGAUGACGUCAAGUCAUCAUGGCCCUUACGACCAGGGCUACACACGUGCUACAAUGGCAUAUACAAAGAGAAGCGACCUCGCGAGAGCAAGCGGACCUCAUAAAGUAUGUCGUAGUCCGGAUUGGAGUCUGCAACUCGACUCCAUGAAGUCGGAAUCGCUAGUAAUCGUAGAUCAGAAUGCUACGGUGAAUACGUUCCCGGGCCUUGUACACACCGCCCGUCACACCAUGGGAGUGGGUUGCAAAAGAAGUAGGUAGCUUAACCUUCGGGAGGGCGCUUACCACUUUGUGAUUCAUGACUGGGGUGAAGUCGUAACAAGGUAACCGUAGGGGAACCUGCGGUUGGAUCACCU
Molecule: ribosomal RNA, 1528 nt
Filed under: Klebsiella pneumoniae
Lineage: Bacteria; Pseudomonadati; Pseudomonadota; Gammaproteobacteria; Enterobacterales; Enterobacteriaceae
Also listed under: 1 other name
Description: bacterial SSU rRNA
Rfam family: Bacterial small subunit ribosomal RNA
Source: RNAcentral